Molecule: unclassified non-coding RNA, 250 nt
Filed under: plant metagenome
Description: partial contains small subunit ribosomal RNA, internal transcribed spacer 1, and 5.8S ribosomal RNA
Source: RNAcentral
GUAGGUGAACCUGCGGAAGGAUCAUUAACACGUAUCCAACGUUAAAACCCCCCCCGUGAACUUUCAAUCCUGCUCUUGUAACCCGCGUAGUUCGCAAUCUCUGGUAAAUCAUAGCCCGGAAAGUUGUUUUGAUUCAGAGACCUCUGGCUACGUGAGAACAUUGGAACAGUUACAAUCGAGCGGUAGUUUCAUAGGCAUUGUUUCCCCAAGCAGUCAGUGUCGGAAAGUGUCACUGAUUGUGCAAGGAUAG